CACCUUAGCUCUCGAACUUUAAAUCAUUAUAAUUUUUGGCUCAAAUUAUGAGACGCGUGAAACUUUAAUCCUUAAACUUAGUUGUAAUUUUUGGCUCGAAUUAUAAGCUAUGUGAUAUUUUACUUUUUGGAGUUAUUGAAUUAUUACAAUCCAAUCCCACAAUCCAAAUUUUAAAAAAUAAGUAUUGUUUAAUUACUAACAUCAAAGUAAUGCUAUGUUCUAACUAUUGUUGUAUCAUCAAAGUAGGAUUUGUUAUAAUUCAGAAAGUUUGAGAACUAAUAUGUCACAUAUCUCGUAGUUUGAGUCAAAAAUUAUAAUCAAUAAAAGUUUGAAAACUAAAGUAUCACACGCCUCAUAAUUCGAGACAAAAAUUACAACGAAUUAAAAUUUGAGGACUAAAGUGUAAAAUGCCGUAUAGUUU
Molecule: long non-coding RNA, 421 nt
Filed under: Ananas comosus (pineapple)
Lineage: Eukaryota; Viridiplantae; Streptophyta; Magnoliopsida; Poales; Bromeliaceae
Description: long non-coding RNA (ACOM_LNC015508)
Source: RNAcentral